This 1300-nucleotide ribosomal RNA is filed under the name Salmonella enterica. RNAcentral describes it as "partial 23S ribosomal RNA". It matches the Rfam family "Bacterial large subunit ribosomal RNA", at positions 1660 to 2925 of the family's 2925-position model. Lineage: Bacteria; Pseudomonadati; Pseudomonadota; Gammaproteobacteria; Enterobacterales; Enterobacteriaceae. The record is from RNAcentral.
CAGGUGGUCAGGUAGAGAAUACCAAGGCGCUUGAGAGAACUCGGGUGAAGGAACUAGGCAAAAUGGUGCCGUAACUUCGGGAGAAGGCACGCUGACACGUAGGUGAAGUGGUUUACCCAUGGAGCUGAAGUCAGUCGAAGAUACCAGCUGGCUGCAACUGUUUAUUAAAAACACAGCACUGUGCAAACACGAAAGUGGACGUAUACGGUGUGACGCCUGCCCGGUGCCGGAAGGUUAAUUGAUGGGGUCAGCGCAAGCGAAGCUCCUGAUCGAAGCCCCGGUAAACGGCGGCCGUAACUAUAACGGUCCUAAGGUAGCGAAAUUCCUUGUCGGGUAAGUUCCGACCUGCACGAAUGGCGUAAUGAUGGCCAGGCUGUCUCCACCCGGGACUCAGUGAAAUUGAACUCGCUGUGAAGAUGCAGUGUACCCGCGGCAAGACGGAAAGACCCCGUGAACCUUUACUAUAGCUUGACACUGAACACUGGUCCUUGAUGUGCAGGAUAGGUGGGAGGCUUUGAAGUGUGGACGCCAGUCUGCAUGGAGCCGACCUUGAAAUACCACCCUUUAAUGGCUGGUGUUCUAACGUGGGCCCGUGAACCGGGUUGCGGACAGUGUCUGGUGGGUAGUUUGACUGGGGCGGUCUCCUCCUAAAGAGUAACGGAGGAGCACGAAGGUUGGCUAAUCCUGGUCGGACAUCAGGAGGUUAGUGCAAUGGCAUAAGCCAGCUUGACUGCGAGCGUGACGGCGCGAGCAGGUGCGAAAGCAGGUCAUAGUGAUCCGGUGGUUCUGAAUGGAAGGGCCAUCGCUCAACGGAUAAAAGGUACUCCGGGGAUAACAGGCUGAUACCGCCCAAGAGUUCAUAUCGACGGCGGUGUUUGGCACCUCGAUGUCGGCUCAUCACAUCCUGGGGCUGAAGUAGGUCCCAAGGGUAUGGCUGUUCGCCAUUUAAAGUGGUACGCGAGCUGGGUUUAGAACGUCGUGAGACAGUUCGGUCCCUAUCUGCCGUGGGCGCUGGAAGAUUGAGGGGGGCUGCUCCUAGUACGAGAGGACCGGAGUGGACGCAUCACUGGUGUUCGGGUUGUCAUGCCAAUGGCACUGCCCGGUAGCUACAUGCGGAAGAGAUAAGUGCUGAAAGCAUCUAAGCACGAAACUUGCCCCGAGAUGAAUCUUCCCUGAGCCUUUAAGGCUCCUGAAGGAACGUUGAAGACGACGACGUUGAUAGGCCGGGUGUGUAAGCGCAGCGAUGCGUUGAGCUAACCGGUACUAAUGAACCGUGAGGCUUAACCUUACAACGCCGAAG